Molecule: ribosomal RNA, 495 nt
Filed under: uncultured bacterium
Lineage: Bacteria
Description: partial 16S ribosomal RNA
Rfam family: Bacterial small subunit ribosomal RNA
Source: RNAcentral
AUGAACGCUGGCGGCGUGCCUCAUACAUGCAAGUCGAGCGAACGGACGAGAAGCUUGCUUCUCUGAUGUUAGCGGCGGACGGGUGAGUAACACGUGGAUAACCUACCUAUAAGACUGGGAUAACUUCGGGAAACCGGAGCUAAUACCGGAUGAUAUUUUGAACCGCAUGGUUCAAAAGUGAAAGACGGUCUUGCUGUCACUUAUAGAUGGAUCCGCGCUGCAUUAGCUAGUUGGUAAGGUAACGGCUUACCAAGGCAACGAUGCAUAGCCGACCUGAGAGGGUGACGGCCCACCCUGGACUGGGCACAGGCCCCAGCCUCCUGCGGGAGGACGCAGUGGGGAUCCUUCGGAAGGGGGGGAAGCCGGACCGGAGCACCGCGGGGUGAGUGAGAAGGGUUUCCGGAUCGAAAACCUUUUUUUUAGGGAAAAAACAUUGGUUAAGGUACCUGUCCCCACCUGGAGGGACCCAAACAAGAAGCCCACGCCUAAUUCCUC